Molecule: ribosomal RNA, 875 nt
Filed under: uncultured Neocallimastigales
Lineage: Eukaryota; Fungi; Neocallimastigomycota; Neocallimastigomycetes; Neocallimastigales
Description: partial large subunit ribosomal RNA
Rfam family: Eukaryotic large subunit ribosomal RNA
Source: RNAcentral
CGUGUCGCGCAUAUCUGCAUAUCAAUAGCGGAGGAAAAGAAACUAACAAGGAUUCCCUUAGUAACGGCGAGUGAAGCGGGAAGAGCUCAAAUUUGAAAUCUUCAAGGUUCUACCUUGACGAAUUGUAGUUUAAAGAAGUGUUUUCUGUUAGAUGAGUAGCAAAAGUUCCUUGGAAUGGGACAUCAUAGAGGGUGAGAAUCCCAUAUUUGGUUAUUCAUUCUAGCUUUGUGAUACACUUUCAAAGAGUCGGAUUGUUUGGGAAUGCAGUCCAAAAUGGGUGGUAAAUUUCAUCUAAAGCUAAAUAUUGGCGAGAGACCGAUAGCGAACAAGUACCGUGAGGGAAAGAUGAAAAGAACUUUGAAAAGAGAGUUAAACAGUACGUGAAAUUGUCAAAAGGGAAGCGUUUGACACCAGUGUUGUUUUUCCGAAAAUCAAUUACGAAUGGCUUGAUUUUGUGUUGUAUUGACCUUAUCAGCUUUCUUCACUUUUUUCGAGUCUUUCUUAAUGCACUUUUCGGUUAACAAGUCAACAUCAAUUUCUUUUGUUGUAAAAGAGUAUUCGGAAGGUGGCUUUCUUUUCGGAGAAAGUGUUUAUAGCCCUAUACUUCUACAAUCGGAGAGAUUGAGGUCUGCAGCGUAGAUCCUUCGGGGUUAGAUACACUUGUGCUAAGUUGUAGCUUUUCAUAGACAACUUGUUGACUAUGUUUAGUCAUGCGGCUUACUCGCUUGAUGCUAUUUUACCUACGCUUAGGAUGUUGACGCGCGUGUGUGCGUGAGUCUAUACAUGACUCUGCGCAUAUCAAUAAGCGGAGGAAAAGGCUGCGGAACUGAACGACCGCUACCUACGCUUAGGAUGUUGAAGAUAUGCGCGACACG